This 23079-nucleotide long non-coding RNA is filed under the name Musa acuminata (dwarf banana). Its description in RNAcentral is "long non-coding RNA (MACU_LNC006499)". The stretch from base 3236 to 3307 matches the Rfam family "tRNA". Lineage: Eukaryota; Viridiplantae; Streptophyta; Magnoliopsida; Zingiberales; Musaceae. The record is from RNAcentral.
GAAUACCUCGUCACGUCAUGUGGCUUCUCCCCGGAGAAGGCGACCAAGGCCUCGAAUCUCCUCGGCGGCAUCGCGUCCCGCCGGCAGCCCGACUCCGUCCUUGGCUUUCUCAAAAGCCACGGUUUCGACGACACCCAUGUGAAAGAGCUGCUGUCUGGGAACCCCCGGUGGCUUCUCCUCGACGUGGAGAAGACCCUGGCCGCCAAGUUCCGAGCUCUCCAGGAGUUAGGCUUCUCACAGUCCGACAUCACCCAACUCGUCCUGACCAAUCCCUCCGCAAUCAACUACCACAUCCGCACCGUCGUGCACAGGAUCCGGUUUUGGCAGGGACUCAUCGGAUCCAACGACCUCCUCAUAAAGCUCUGUAAUCACCACCAGUGGCUUCUCGGGUAUAGCGUCGAGAAGAGGAUCCAGCCAAACAUCGAUAUGCUACGGAGCUGUGGAUUCACGGAUCAAAAGCUUAGAACGAUCCUGGGGUACCACCCCACGUUGGUAACCCAGAGGGCGGAAACCUUGAGGACCUUGAUCAGUCGUGUCGAGGGAUUCGGAGUAGCCCGCACCUCGCCGAGGUUCCACUUGACUCUGUGGAUGCUCUCCAAUGUUAGCGUGGAGAGAUUCAAUGCGCAAAAGAAGCUAUUCGGGGCCUUCGGGUGGUCAGAGGCCGACUUCCUCGACGCAUUCAAAAAGACUCCUGGUUUCUUGACAAGUUCCUUGAAGAAUCUGAAGAUGAAAAUGGAAUUCUUGGUGAAUGAGGCUGGAUAUGCUCCGUCUUAUAUCGCCCUCCGGCCUGUGCUUUUGACAUAUAGUUUAGAGAAAAGGGUGAUCCCAAGAUAUCAGCUCAUGGCAGCCCUGAAGUCCAGGGGGCUGUGCGCUGGUCAUCCCAAAUUGUUCACAUAUAUCUCGUGUUCAGAGAAGAAGUUCUUGGAAAGGUAUGUCAUCAUCUACAAGAAGCAGUUUCCGGAGCUCAUUGAAUUGUACAGUGCGAGAAAAUAGUAGUUCUGGAUUUGCUAGCUGUAGAUUUUGGUUCCUGCAAUCCAUGGUUUCAGGUUCCAGCCUUUUACCCUCUGCUUAACUUGAUCUGCAGUUUGAGACUUAUUAGUAUUAUGAUUUAUGUCAUUUGCUUCCUUUUUUUCUGGUGCAUUAAGAGGAAUGUAGCUGCAUACAUGUAGAAAGAAAGGAAAGCAAUAUGAAGUGGAACACAAUGACUUCUUGUAGCAUGUUGAUUCGGUCAAUUGUUUCCUGAUAAUUACCUGCAUAGGAAAAAUUAGAUACUGUAGGAAUUUGUAGGAAUUGAGACUGUUGUCCCAUUCUUUUUUUUUAACCUACUUCUGGGAACACAUUUGGCAGACGUGUGUGCUUGUGUGUGUGUGUCGUGGUGACUAUGAAACUGAAACAAAUUCUUUGUUUGAUCUAUGGCUCUCCUUGAUGUGCAUUGAAGUAGAUGCUUUGCUUAUGUUGUAGCUGAUAUCAUUAUGUUAUCAUGAAGAAUUUUGAGAUGAUGGUUUCAAAGGUCACAUUACUAUUACACUAUGGAGUUAUGGUUGCAUCGUUUUUUUCUCCUUUGAUGAAAAAUUGGUGCUUUUGAUCGAUUUUGACAUGAUACGUCGAAUCUGCAUGGAUGUUGUCUAAGAUUGAUCUAAUUUUGGUCGGUUUCUCAGCUGAAUCAGCUAGAAUCCGUUGAAAAUACUUGAGUUUAUUGAUUUUUGGGUGAAUUUUACACUACUUGAUGACCUCAAACUCAAAGGGAAGAAAAAAGAGGACGGAAGGAGAAGAAGAAAGAAAAGAGGAAAGUUGAGAUGGUGAAACGAUAAAAGAAAAAAGAGAAAACUGUGAUUGUGAUUCUAAAUCAGAGGAGGGAACAUUGCUUUUGCUUUGCUUGCUAUUCACUGCAUCCAUCCACUGCAUUUGUUGUUUGCUACUACAUCCAUCGGGUAGAAUAGAUGGAGGAUUACAGGCAAAAGGAAGAGGACAGAAGUAACCCAUAACCUAAUAUGAACUGUGCCUGCUCCUUAUAUUUAUUAAGUUUUAGCCAAUGAUUUUGAGACUUUGGAAAAUUGUGAACUAGUGAUUGCAUAGUGUCCAUAAUCAUGUAUACAUUGCAGAAGCACUUCUUAUUGUUUCGUCAGCAUCAGUAUAGAAUAGGCAGCAUGUUUGGUUGGUGCAAUCCGAUCAAUAAAAGAAAAUAUUUCACAGGUUUGUGGCUUGUGUUCGUGAGCCCUCUUCCCCUUACAUGCAAGCAUGAACGAUUGUUGUUGUCCGCUGUCCAUUGCUCUGUCAUUGAUUUCAGGUAUGCUUCCUCCACCUCUUCCUUCUGCUUCAUCCUCAUCCUCCACUAUUUACUCCUUUCUUCGUUUAACUCCUUACUCUUCCUUUUUUUUUUUGUCUUUCUCGAUGGUCUCAUCUUCUUUCUUCCUCUUUCUCCUCCCUACUCUUAAUACAUGGCUUUCUCUUUUUCUUCGUCCGCCUUCCUCUUUCUUCAUCCACUUUCAUUUGAUUCUUCCUUUUCGAGGCUUCAGAACAUACCGGUACAUAAUGUGUCAGUAUAUUGGUAUCUCAAUCUAUGGAUUGGUACGUAGCGGUCUGGGCAGAGACAGAUAAGUUACUAAUCAGUAAGAGACUAUAAACGCUGGUGCACUGCAAGCUUCAGUCGUACAAGUGCUCGACAACUUGGAAGAGUUUUCAUUUGCUGCUCAGUAUCUGCUACAAAGCUCUUCUAUCGUUAGCGGUGGAAGGUAAGUUUGUGUAUGUUAACACUACCCUGUAUACCACUGAAAAGUGCAUUUUACACAGAAUUAUGUUGUAUUGACGUUUUGGGGGAAAUUUUAGUUUAAAAUUUGCUGAAUUUGGCUCUUAUAAAAUGCAUUAACAGUUAAAAAAUGACAGCAUGAGUUGAUGAUUGCAUAGAUGUGAGCAAUAAGAUGCUAAAAUGGAUCCUAAUUCUACCUAAUAACUGGAUCAAAAUGAAAGUUUCAAUUAACCGGAUUAAUUCGUUGAUUAAAAUGAUCUAAAAAUUGUAUCCAAAUGGACGAAAUCGAUGAACCUUCUUAUCCUUCCAUGAAAAGAUAAUCCUCAAGGGGCAAAUGCAAGAUCGAAUCCGAUCAUACAACACCAUACAACACAUGAACCCUAAUCCUCAUGGAACGAGAUGGGUUAAACAAUGUGGACCUGGUUAGAAUUAAAUAUUUAUCCUAAUUUUAAUAACUAUUUAUAUAUAUUAUAUUUUGCAAUACCAACUGGAUCCGUGGCGCAAUGGUAGCGCGUCUGACUCCAGAUCAGAAGGUUGCGUGUUCGAUUCACGUCGGGUUCAACUUUACAAUAUUUUCACAUUUCGUUUUUGUUCCACUUGUGAUUGGAGCACUGAACGGCCCCACAAGUGGACCCCAUCCGAUUCUUACGCUCCUUUUCAAAUUUUCGAUUUCCUUUUUCUAUACCUUGUGAUUGGAUUACGGGACGGACCCACUAGUGGACCCCAUCGAUCAUAGCUCCCUUUCCUUGUGUGAGAAAUACAUUUAUAAAACACUAAUUUUAGCCUAAUUUCAAUCUAUCGAGAUGUCAAAAUAUCAGUAAAAAAGGAAGAAAAUUAGCUGAUAAAUGAACACAUGAAUAAAUUUGUGGCACAAAAUCUAGGUUCGAACAAUUACAUACAAUACGGUUUUAAAAAAUAACAUUAAUCUAAAUAUACACAAAUAUAUAUAUAUAUAUAUAUAUAUAUAUAUAUAUACCUCAUCCAAAUCCCCUUUCUUCCUGUCCCCAUUCUCCGUCCGCGAUACAUCGUCGUCGCUUUCCUUCGACAAAUGCGAAGAGAAGACAAAGAUUUGGAAUUCAACCGCUGGCCAAUUCGAAGCCCCAUUUGGUUUGGCUCCCCCCCUUCCGCCUUCCUCCCUUUUCUUGCUCCGAAUUAAAUCUUCUUAUGUGACGUUUGUCGUCUGAAACGACGAUUCUCUUUGGUAGCAUACAUUUGAUUCGUCUACACGAGGAGGAUUGUGGUUUGACUUAAAUGAGUACUGUGGGUUAUCAACUUGUUUUCAUGAUAAAGGGGAAUGACAAAGAAAGCCUGACAAAAUUGCCAACCAUGACAUGAAUCCCAACACAUUAUUAUGUUCCGCUGAAGUUUCAUUGGACUUAGCCUGAUUAAUUCUUUCAUUAAUUUGUUUAAUGCUUAUAAGGAGCAACAUACAGUUAGAUGACGUGUAGAAUGUAUCCAAAUUGUGAAAUUGGAGCUAUAAUUUCUCCCGUUGCACUACACAUUCGAUGACCUAGAAGUGGCAGAAAAUGAAAUAUAACUUUUACAUGGCAGUUUUAAUACUUAGAUGCAAGUGUUGGGAAUCUCAUUAGUUAUUGGAAUCGACAAGAUACUUUAUAUGAUCCACACGUCCGAUAAUAAUAAUGACCAAACACAUUUAUCAACUAGUCAUAAAUGAGAGACUUUUCAGAUAUUUAAAAUUAUUUUAAAUUGUUUUGAUGAUGAAAGAAAGCAUUAAGUAUACUUUUAAAAAAAAAUAAAGGAUUGAUGUUCCUUUUCUGGCCUAUCUAUACCAUUAAGGGAUAGACAUUAAGUUCCAUAAGACAUAGAAUAGAAGACACCAAUUGUUUCUUAAUAAAUUAAUCUAAGGAAUCCACUAUGUGAAUUAAUCAAAGGCUUAUUUUUGGACAACUAUGACUCAAGGUAAGUUUAUUUCGUUGCAUGUCCAUUAUAAAUCCAUUGUUUUGCUUACAACAAGAACAUUUCAAAUCUGUAUGUAUAUGAGUUUUCUGAUCUAUUGUUCUCAAUAUUAUUUUUUAAAACUACAUAGAAAGAAAACAAAAGUGGUGAAUAAAAAUGUAAUAUUUAGAUGGUAAUUUUAACUUUUAGAUACAAGUGCACUUCGAGCCUGUAUGCCUUUGCAUUUAAUAAUUAUUCUUUUUGAAUAUUGUUCUCCGACACUACUUAGAAAGAAAACAUAAGAAGGUGCUACAAAGGUGCAUACACAGACUUCUUGUAUCUGUGCUGCAAGAAGUACUUGUGACACUUGUUCUAUGGCACAAAAUGUGCUGUUGGUUUCUCUGGUACUUGAGUGACACACUAACCUCAGCUCUAGUAGAUCAUGUGUACAAUGUGAUCUUACAUGUUGUUGUUCCUUUUUUCAUUUUUUUUGUAAACUUGUUAUGUCCAAGGUUGUAUUACUCCUUUCUGUUCAAGAACAUGCGAAAAAUGCUGAUUAUUUCAGUGCUUUGACUUUUAUUUCAUGUCUCAACAUGCUUUGUAAUUAAUCUUUGACUAUUUGUUACAUGUGCUGUUGCUUACUGAUGGGGUCAAGGAUUUCAAAUAACGUUUGUGAUUGAAACUGAGGAUUUGAAAUAAUGUUUGUGACUGAAACUGAAUAGAUAGAUUUGUAAGGCAACAGAGAUUCUCUGAUGAACUCUAUCUCAACGAAUUGUCACGGACUUAGCUAGUUUUGCCUAAAUCGUGCGGCACCCUUGCGUGUCCGUCCAUAAAGGUCAGCCUCCCCGAAACCUCCAAUGAUCCCUUAGGACCUACAAAAGAGAAAACGGGUUAAAGAAAGUGCCUCACUCGGGAUCCACAAGCAAAAUAUCAGAAAACACAUCAUAGUCAAUGCAAAUUACAAACAUACUUUACAAGCUCCGAACGGUUGCACAACAAAGGAUUUAAAAUGGUCUACUACAGACCGAAAUCUCCUACAAGUGUCCAUAUGACACAACCUUUAUUUACAAACCUAAAACGACCACCCAAACCCAACUAAAAUGGGGUUGUUAAGCCUUCGACCGUCCUUCUAUAUGCUGUGCAAGGCAUGAACAUACCAAAAGACACAGACAUACGUAAGCAUUACAUCAAACAUCCUGUUUAGAAGUUUGUCCGUGACAUUCUUCCCCACCCAUUCCUUCGACGUCCUCGUCGAAGCCUUUGCGACAUUGCAACUCCUCAUCUUUGCUGAGUCUUCAAUCUAUUGAUCUAGCUGCAAUGCACCUCUUGGCUCCCAGCUACUCUCCGCUACUGUUAUUGAGUAGUUGAAUUUUUGAUCCGCCAUGCUGCUUCAACUCGCUAAUGACUCUGACUCUAGUGUGGGGUUGGCUGAGUUGUGUUGAUUCCUGUUGGUUCCUGCGGAUCCUUCAGAUGAAGGAAAAGACUAUCCUUACUUUGCGCCAGUCUCUCAAAUGACUCAUGCUGCUUGAACUGGGUGGAUGCUUGUUGGAGCUUUGACGAGCAUCGCCUCGCAAAAUUUUGAUGUUUUUAGGUCAUUCCUCCAUAAAAUUUGUCCAUCGACUCUUCUUUCACUUAGUUAUCCCUUCUAAGUAGGUUCGCAUCACUUCGCUUUCGAUUGACAUUUCGUUGGAAAAUAAAGCGGACAAUCUACUCUCAAUAGCACUGAUCACCAUUGAUGAGGAUUUAACAACUAUUGUCUUCCAUUAUCUUCGAAUGGUCUUUGAACCUGUGCAGAACUACUCUGUUGGAUAAAUAAGAGAAUUGGGGUACUCGGUUUCGCCCAUUCUCUUAAGAGUUGAGAAGACAAAGGUUACUUGACUUCACCCGCCUCCUCGAGGGUUGUACUCCAUGUAUCGAGCUGAUUACUGGCCUUCACCUGCUCUUUGCUCAGACUUCUGAAGCACUUGAAGUGUUUGCACUCCUUGCGUUGAGUUAGUUACUGUGAUUCACCAUCUCAAUGUUAUCUUAACUUCUAGAAUGCAGGAAGUUUUCACCCCAACUUGGAGUAAGUCUCUAGUAGUUUUGGUCGCCUCUAGGAUUGUACCGUCUUCUCCAUCAACCUUGUCGCCUACUCCACAGAGUAGCAAAGGUACAGUACCGCGUACUCCACAGAAGUCCUUCACUUUCGGCUAUCUUGAUGAGAAGCUCAUUAACACCGGUCUUACGAAGUUCCCUAGCCUCUACCCUUCAGCCUUGUCUCAGUACUUGGAGUUUGCCUCUACAUUCUCCACCUCCUCGGCCCCUUUCACGACCAAGCGUUCUCCCUCCAUGAGAACAAGGGAUCGAUGACUUCACGGAAGUCCCACUUCUGCGGUACUAUGGCACUGCCAUGCCCAUGGCCCUACUAUCCGUCACCUCAUAUCUGCAUCCCUUUUCUUCAUUAUCAGUAGAUCUGCCUCUGUGGCACUUCUUCGAGGCCACCUCCAUUCUAACCGAUGCUUUGUUUUGGGUAGCUAAGUCCCUUUGGACUCGUCGUCACUUCCUUGCCCCUUUCAACCCCCUACUUCAACACCUCUGUAUACUCCAAGCAGUUCCCCUUGGUCGACGGAAAGACAGACUGCAACUCUCAUGCAUGGCCUCUGCCAUCAUGUUGUAGGGUUUGCACCAAUUCUAUUCUCCUUAGUUUCCUUGGUAGCAACGUUCGCUUACUCGACCUUGUCCUUUGACUUGCCGGGCUCCCUUAAGUGAAUAUGAGCUCUAGAGUAGUCCAACUCUCCAACCGCUCCGAUCAUACCUCUGUAUGAUCAAGUCCCCUCAUGGGACUUCCUGGUACUUGCAUUCGAACUUUUCUUUCGAUGUUACACAACCCCCAUAUGCUGAUAACCAAGGCUUUCAUCCGAUAUAAUAUUCGAUGCAUGCACGGAAGACCCGCCUCUGCGAUACCAUGACAUUCACUCCUUGAAUUCAUAGCCUUUCUUACCACCGUGUUGUUCAUCGAAGUGGAACUCCCAGUAGCUCCCGAUCAUUCCUCCGUAUGAUAUAGUCCCUUACGGGAUUAUAUUCGUGUGUAUCGCAUUGCCACGAACUGUUCCACCACGAUCCGUUGCACCAUGUCGCCUUUUGGUGACAUCUCCAUUGCAUUCUGAUCCUUGUGGGAUGAACUCGGAUUGUGAUCCCUUCAUGUGUGACCUCUGCCAAUACAUCGUAGGGCCUCUUCAACUUUCAAUUUGUGUUCGCUCCUUUGGCAAUCAGUCUUUGUCCACUCGCUCUCGGGUCACACCUAGAUGAAGCACCACUCUAGGACAAUCUGUCACCUAGUAGCUCUCGAAGUCCACCGACUUCGCUGAAAUUGGUGCACUAUUGUCUAGAUCCUGGGUCUUUGAGCACCAUCAAGUAUGGUUGCCAACGUUGAGUCGUAGCUCAAACUCAGCCAUCCUAACCUUUGUGCGCUACGCAUUCUUUUCAACUUGCUUGUCCUCGUGGUGCCUCUUGCGCGAAGGGUUGGCCAUUCCUCUAAAUGCCACUCUCAGAUGCCCGCUCCUCUGAACGACUCCUUUUCCCUACAUCUUCAUGCCCGUUCUCCCCAAAACGGUCGCGCGUGCUGGCUGCCCUCAAUGCAGCCCCGCUAGGUCCCCCACGUUUGCAUGCCAAGUAUUUCUAUGAGUGCUUGUCUCGCUCUGAUACCAUCUGUCAUGGACUUAGUUGGUUUUGCCUAAGUCGUACGGCACCCUUACGUGUCCGUCCGCAAAGGUUAGCCUCCCUGAAACCUCUCAUGGUCUCUUAGGACCUACAAAAGAUAAAACGAGUUAGAGAAAGCGCCUCACUCGGGAUCCACAAGCAAACAUCUCAGAAAACACAUCAUAGCCAAUGCAAAUUACAAACAUACUUUACAAGCUCCGAACCGUUGCACAACAAAGGAUCCAAAAUUGUCCAUUACAAAUCGAAAUCUCUCACAAGUGUCCACAUAACAUAACCUUUAUUUACAAGCCUAAAACAACCAUCUAAACCCAACUAAAAUGAGAUUGUUAAGCCUUUGACCGUCCCUCUAUAUGCUUUGCAGGGUAUGAAUAUACCAAAAGAUACGGACAUACAUAAGCAUUACAUCAAACAUCCUAUUUAGAAGUUUGUCCGUGACAGAAUGGCUGUUAUAAUAUUUUGGUCUUUGUUAUAUACAUAUUUACAUGAAUUUUUCCUGUGAAAUUUAGUUUUGUGGUAUAAAGCACUAUUAUCAGCAUGGUUUCUUUACUGUUUAUCUAUAUCUAUAAUGUUUCAUGUUGUGUUUUUCUUGGACUGCUCAUUCAGUGCUGUUAAUUCCCUGCUUUUCAGUUUUUCACAAGGAAUCAAUAUUCUUGACCUUACAUGCGAUUCAAUUAUAGGCUUUUGGAAUUGUUCCUCCAUACUGAAACAUUAGCAUUUUUGUGACAAUGGAAAAUUUGAUUUGUUAUUCUUAUUUUUUGUAUUUCUUGGAGUUUUAAAGUAUGACAUUGGUAUGGACUUCAAAGUAAAUUGAACGGUGCAAUUCUGUAGUUCUGUACUAGAUGCCCUUAGUUCUGGAAGAUGAUGGACUGAAGUAGGUGCAGUGGCAUUGAUAUCACAUCACACACAGGUUCUUAAUGCUAAAGCCCACGCUGCUAAUUUUGUGGCCUUUACAUCUCCUAUCAUUUUUCUGCACUUUCUUCCUUUAGUUGUUGUCUAUGUCAUGUUUGCUAAUAUUCAUAAUCAAUAGAAGACUAUAAUAUAGUAUUCUAAGGUUAUGCUGUUUUUUGUCGACCUUCAGGGUUCUUUUUCAACACAUUCACUGAGUUGUAGUGCGUCAAGUAGAAGGGCAAUUGUGAGGUCCUUGAUUGUUCAGUUGCUGUAUAAAACACUUGUUUGUGCCCCUGAAGCAUCAUUUUGAAUUUAGGUAAGACUUCAAAACGAAUGUGUUCGAAAGGAAUAUGACCAUUUUUACCAUAGUUGUUAUUGGCUUUAAAAAAUAACAGAGGUAGUUUUUUAAGAUAAAGGAAUACAUGCUAUGGAUUGUUAAUUUUACUAGAGUAAUUGUUACUUGUAGGCUUGUUUAAUUUAAUGUUGCCCAAUAUCACUAUAUCCCCUCUUUGCAGCUAUCUAUGAUUGGAUCUAGAAUCAGGUUCAGAGUACUUUGCUUCCUGGAUUUGCAGUGGUACAUGUCCGGAAUGCAGAAAUUUGUUGUUUGGUUUCAUUGCUAUGGUUACCAUGUUAUCCAAAAUGAAUGGUCUAAUCCACAAAACUCACCCCCGCAGUUUGAAGAAGGUUAACAUAUUCAGCCUUACCUAUACAAAUAAAGAGGUCAUUUCCAUUGACUUUACAAACCUAAGUUGAGGACAAAAAGUCAAACUCAUCAUGGAGAUAAGGCCAACCUUUGAAGUCAUUUUUAUUAUAACAUUUUUCCUCCCACUAUUCAGUAUCUUGUUGGGACGUUUCUCACUAUUCAGUAUCUUGUUAGGACAUUUCUUAAGCUUAAAAAAUUUGGAAUUUGAACAUCGUCUCUGAUUUUUAUUCUGCUGUUAGUGUUACAUUUACUUUGUUCGCUAUAAACGGUGUAGAUUGGUAAUUGUCUUUGACUCUUUGUUUGGUUAAAUAUAUUGCAGUGUUGUUGAAAAUGUUUAGCUUAUGAUAAAACUUUUGGUGACUUUAUGGUGAAAAUUUGCAAUCAACUGAAUGAAUGCAUUCCUCUUGAUGACAUCGUGAUACAGUAUUGAAUGUGGAAGUGUACUGCCAAAGUGAUAGUGACCUUUUGUUGCCCGUGUUAUGAUGACCAGUUGAUUUUGCAAGAGGCAAAUCAUAUCUUACAAAUGGGUAUGGUAUAAGAUAACAGACAUGAUAGUAUACCUUACAUGCUGAUAUUGGCUGACAUGGAGGCCUAACAUUUUCAGAACCACGUGAAUAGAUGUUGGUGGAUUACUUUUUAUAGUUUUGAUUUUUUGGAACCUUUUUAUGUGCUUAUCUAUCAUAAAAUGGAACAAAUAAGUUUUGAUAGCAAGGAAUUUCUAUUUGUUUUUGGGCCAUUGUAUGGAAUAAAUAAGUUUUGAUAGAAGGAUUUUGUGGCACACAUCUUUUUCAAAUAAAUGGUCUUAGUUAAGGAAAGUUGAGAUUGAAUUCCAAAUACCAUUCAGUCAGCUAACACCCCAUGGUGCCUUAUUUUCUUUUCGUUCAAGAAUUUCGACUUCUUUUACUCUUUUGAUCGGCUUAGUUAGUUAGUAUUUGUUGAUAAGAUCUAUCACUAUGUUUAGAUUCCUUGGUCUUACCACUUCAAUUGAGGAUCCAACCUAACUCCAUGAGGUUGACUACGAUGGGCAAAUUUCAUCAUAAAAAACAGGUUAUUAAAUAUAUGUGUACUAGCCUUUGGCAUAUUAUUUUUCAUCGUAGUCUUUUGGAGGACAAUAAAAUGAAUUUUUUGUCCAUUUUUUAUGAGUAUGUGUUUCUUCAGUAGUUUGGUAUCAUGAAAUUAAUUUUAGGUACCCAUGAAAUAGUUUGUAUUAAAGAAUAUUUUGGUUGUUCAAGGUGUUGGGCGCGGAGCGAACCUCGAUUGAAGCUCGGGUCUAUCAUCAAUUUGAUGUUGGGAGACAAGUAGGUUUGGUAGAAGAUCCUACAAAACUAAAAAAGGGGCAUGCCCGACAAAAGCCUUUCCAAAGUAUAGUUGGAGAAACGUAACAUUUGCUUCAAAGGGUUCAAAAGGGGUGUUAAGUGACUUGCUCUUAGGGUUUCGAGGGUUUUUUUGCCUUUUAGGCGUAGUCGGAGAGGAAGGGAAUACGGUGUUGGUGACGGUUUGUGUCUUCGGACAAGAAGAGGAGACCGAUGAAGAGGUCACCGGCAUUCUCUCUCUUCUCCAAAACCCUCUGCUUCAUCUAUCGCCCUCGUCCCGCCGAUGCUCUACUUUCCUCCUCCUCCUCUUACUCCGUCGCCGCUACCGGAAGCGGAGCUCUUCAGCCCAGCAUCAUGGCCGAAUACCUCGUCACGUCAUGUGGCUUCUCCCCGGAGAAUGCGACCAAGGCCUCGAAUCUUCUCGGCGGCAUCACGUCCCGCCGGCAGCCCGACUCCGUCCUUGGCUUUCUCAAAAGCCACGGUUUCGACGACACCCAUAUGAAAGACCUGCUGUCUUGGAACCCCCGGUGUCUUCUCCUCGACGUGGAGACGACCCUAGCUGCCAAGUUCCGAUCUCUCCAGGAGUUAGGCUUCUCGCAGUCCGACAUCACCCACCUCGUCCUGGCCAAUCCCUUCGCAAUCAACUAUGACGUCCGCACCGUGGUGCACAAGAUCCGGUUUUGGCAGGGACUCAUCGGAUCCAACGACGUCCUCGUAAAUCUCUUUAAGAGCCGCCGGUGGUUUCUCGGGUUUAGCAUCGAGAAGAGGAUCCAGCCAAACAUCGAGAUGCUACGGAGCUGUGGAAUCACGGAUCAAAAGCUUAGAACGAUCCUGAGGUACCGGCCCACGAUGGUAACCCAGAGGGCGGAAACCUUGAGGGCUUUGAUCAGUCGUGUCGAGGGAUUCGGAGUACCCCGCACUUCGGGGAGGUUCCACUGGACUCUGUUGAUGCUCUCCACUCUUAGCGUGGAGAGAUGCAAUGCGCAAAAGAAGCUAUUCGAGGCCUUCGGGUGGUCAGAGGCCGACUUCCUCGAUGCAAUCAGAAAGACUCCUUUUUUCUUGACAGGUUCCCUGAAGAAUCUGAAGAUGAAAAUGGAAUUCUUGGUGAAUGAGGCUGGAUAUGCUCCGUCUUAUAUCGCCCUCCGGCCUGUGCUCUUGACACUUAGUUUAGAGAAAAGGUUGAUCCCAAGAUAUCAGCUCAUGGCAGCCCUGAAGUCCAGGGGGCUGUGCGCUGGUCAUCCCAAAUCGGUCACAUAUAUGCUGUGUCCAGAGAAGAAGUUCUUGGAAAGGUAUGUCAUCAUCUACAAGAAGCAGUUUCCGGAGCUCAUUGAAUUGUACAGUGCGAGAAAAUAGUAGUUCUGGAUUAGCUAGCUGUAGGUUUUGGCUCCUGCAAUCCAUGGUUUCUGGUUCCAGCCUUUUACUCUCUGCUUAACUUGAUCUGCAGUUUGAGACUUAUUAGUAAUAUGAUUUAUGUCAUUUGCUUCCUUUUUUUCUGGUGCAUUAAGAGGAAUGUAGCUGCAUACAUGUAGAAAGAAAGGAAAGCAAUAUGAAGUGGAACACAAUGACUUCUUGUAGCAUGUUGAUUCGGUCAAUUGUUUCCUGAUAAUUUCCUGCAUAGGAAAAAUUAUAUACUCUAGGAAUUUGUAGGAAUUGAUACUGUUGUCCCAUUCUUUUUUUUAACCUACUUCUGGGAACACAUUUGGCAGACAUGUGUGCUUGUGUGUGUGUGUGUGUGUGUCGUAGACUAUGAAACUGAAACCAAUUCUUUGUUUGAUCUAUGGCUCUCCUUGAUGUGCAUUGAAGUAGAUGCUUUGCUUAUGUUGUAGCUGAUAUCAUUAUGUUAUCAUGAAAAAUUUUGUCAUAACCCGGGCCUGAUAGGCUAACUGAUCUAUCAACUUCGUUUGGUCUAAACCACUGAUUAAAAUGUUUAAGCUGAAGUUAAUAAUAGUACACUCAUCAGACUCUUAUAAGUCAAUCUUAAUCUUGCCCACUUCCGAUUAGGGACAAAUCAGGGGUGUUACAAAUUUUGAGAUGAUGGUUUCAAAGGUCACAUUACUAUUACACUAUGGAGUUAUAUGGUUGCAUCCUUUUUUUCUCCUUUUAAUGAAAAAUUGGUGCUUUGCAAUUAGCUACUAGUGAAGUUCAUGUUUAUUUUGAUACGAUACGUCGAAUCUACGUGGAUGUUGUCUAAGAUUGAUCUAAUUUUGGUCAAUUUCUCAGCUGAAUCAGCUAUAAUCGUUUGAAAAUACUUUGAGUUUAUUGAUUUUUGGGUGAAUUUUACACUACUUGAUGACCUCAAACUCAAAGGGAAGAAAAAAGAAAGACGGAUGGAGAAGAAGAAAGAAAAGAGGAAAGUUGAGAUGGUGAAAAGAUAAAAGAAAAGAGAGAAAACUGUGAUUGUGAUUCUAAAUCAGAGGAGGGAACAUUGCUUUUGCUUUGCUUGCUAUUCACUGCAUCCAUCCACUGCAUUUGUUGUUUACUACUCCAUCCAUCGGGUAGAAUAGUGGACCCCAUCGGUCUUAGCUCCCUUUCCUUCUGUGAGAAAUACUUGUUAAUGAUUUAUACAACACUAAUUUUAGCCUAAUUUCAAUCUAUCGAGAUGUCAAAAUAUCAGUAAAAAAAGAAGAAAAUUAGCUGAUAAAUGAAUACGUGAAUAAAUUUGUGGCACAAACUCUUGUCUCGUCACAGAACCAUCGUAUAGUUGUACUAAGAUAAUAACAUUAAUCUAAAAAUCCAUACACAAAUAGAUAGAUUAUAUAUAUAUAUAUAUAUAUAUAUAUAUAUAUAUAUAUAUAUAGACACACACACGCACAAACCUCAUCCAAAUCCCCUUUCUCUGUCCCCAUUCUCCGUCCGCGAUACAUCGUCGUCGCUUUCCUUCGACAAAUGCGGAGAGAAGACAAAGAUUUGGAAUUCGACCGCUGGCCAAUUCGAAGCCCCAUUUGGUUUGGCUCCCCCCUUUCCUCCUUCCUCCCUUUUCUUGCUCCGAAUUAAAUCUUCUUAUGUGACGUUUGUCGUCUGAAACGACGAUUCUCUUUGCUAUCAUGCAUUUGAUUCGUCUACACGAGGAGGAUUGUGGUUUGAAUUAAAUGAGUACUGUGGGUUAUCUACUUGUUUUCAUGAUAAAGGGGAAUGACAAAGAAAGUCUGACAAAAAUGCCAACCAUGACAUGAAUCCCAACACAUUAUUAUGUUCCGCUGAAGUUUCAUUGGACUUAGCCAGUGUAAUUCUUUCAUUAAUUUGUUUAAUGCUUAUAAGGAGCAACAUACAGUUGGAUGACGUGUCCAAUGUAUCCAAAUUGUGAAAUUGGAGCUAUAAUUUCUCCCGUUGCACUACACAUUCGAUGACCUAGAAGUGGCAGAAAAUGAAAUAUAACUUUUACAUCGCAGUUUUAAUACUUAGAUGCAAGUGUUGGGAAUCUCAUUAGUUAUUGGAAUCGACAAGACACUUUAUAUGAUCCACAUGUCCAAUAAUAAUAAUGACCAAACACAUUUAUCAACUAGUCAUAAAUGAGAGACUUUUCAGAUAUUUAAAAUUAUUUUAAAUUGUUUUGAUGAUGAAAGAAAGCAUUAAGUAUACUUUAAAAAAAAAAUAAAGGAUUGGUGUCCCUUUUCUGGCCUAUCUAUACCAUCAAGGGAUAGACAUUAAGUUCCAUAAGACAUAUAUUAGAAGACACCAGUUGUUUCUUAAUAAAUUAAUCUAAGGAAUCCAAUAUGUGAAAUAAUCAAAGGCUUACUCUUGGACAACUAUGACUCAAGGUAAGUUUAUUUCGUUUCAUGUCCAAUAUAAAUCCAUUGUUUUGCUUACAACAAGAGCAUUUCAAAUCUGUAUGUAUAUGAGUUUUCUAAUCUACUGUUCUCAAUAUUAUUUUUUAAAACUACAUAGAAAGAAAAGAAAAGUGGUGGAUAAAAAUGUAAUAUUUACAUGGUAAUUUUAACUUUUAGAUACAAGUGCACUUCGAGCCUGUUUGCCUUUGCAUUUUAUAAUUAUUCUUUUUGAAUAUUGUUCUUCAACACUACUUAGAAAGAAAACACAAGAAGGUGCUACAAAGGUGCAUACACAGACUUCUUGAAUUUUUGCUGCAAGAAGUACUCGUGACACUUGUUUUAUGGCACAAAAAGUGCUGUUCGUUUCAAUGGUACUUGAGUGACACACUAAACUCAGCUCUAGUAGAUCAUAUGUACAAUGGGAUCUAACAUGCUGUUGUUCCUUUUUUCAUGCUUUUUGUAAACUUGUUAUGUCCAAGGUUGUAUUACUCCUUUCUGUUCAAGAACAUGCGAAAAAUGCUGAUUAUUUCAGUGUUUUGACUUUUAUUUCAUGUCUCAACAUGCUUUGUAAUUAAUCUUUAAUUAUUUGUUACAUAUGCUGUUGCUUACUGAUGGGGUCAAGGAUUUCAAAUAACGUUUGUGAUUGAAACUGAGGAUUUGAAAUAAUGUUUGUGACUGAAACUGAACAGAUAGAAUUGUAAGGCAACAGAGAUUCUCUGAUGAACUCUAUCUCAACGAAUGGCUGUUAUAAUAUUUUGGUCUUUGUUAUAUACAUAUUUACAUGAAUAUUUCCUGUGAAAUUUAGUUUUGUGGUAUAAAGCACUAUUAUCAGCAUGGUUUCUUUAUUGUUUAUCUAUAUCUAUAAUGUUUCAUGUUGUGUUUUUCUUGGACUGCUCAUUCAGUUCUGUUAAUUCCCUGCUUUUCAGUUUUGUUUCUGUCCUCUCUCUAUAUGUGUUUUCCACAAGGAACCAAUAUUCUUGACCUUACAUGCUAUUCAAUUAUAGGCUUUUGGAAUUGUUCCUCCAUACUGAAACAUUAGCAUUUUUGUGACAAUGGAAAAUUUGAUUUGUUCUUCUUAUUUUUUGUAUUUCUUGGAGUUUUAAAGUAUGACGUUGUUAUGCACGUGAAAGUAAAUUGAACGGUGCAAUUCUGCAGUUCUGUACUAUAUGCCCUUAGUUCUGGAAGAUGAAGGACUGAAGUAGGUGCAAUGGCAUUGAUAGCACAUCACACACAGGUUCUUAAUGCUAAAACCCAUGCUGCUAAUUUCGUAGCCUUUACAUCCCCUUUCAUUUUUCUGCACUUUCUUCCUUUAGUUGCUGUCUAUGUCAUGUUUGCUAAUAUUCAUAAUCAAUAGAAGACUAUAAUAUAGUAUUCUAAGGUUAUGCUGUUUUUUGUCAACCUUCAGGGUUCUUUUUCAACACAUUCACUGAGUUGUAGUGCAUCAAGUAGAAGGGCAAAUGUGAGGUCCUCGAUUGUUCAGUUGCUGUAUAAAACACGUGUUUGUGCCCCUGAAGCAUCAUUUUCAUUUUAGGUAUGACUUAAACACGAAUGUGUUCGAAAGGAAUAUGACCAUUUUUGCCAUAGUUGUUAUUGGCUUUAAAAAAUAACAGAGGUAGUUUUUUAAGAUAAAGGAAUACAUGCUAUGGAUUGUUAAUUUUACUAGAGUAAUUGUUACUUGUAGGCUUGUUUAAUUUAAUGUUGCCCAAUAUCACUAUACCUCCUCUUUGCAGCUAUCUAUGAUUGGAUUUAGAAUCAGGUUCAGAGUACUUUGCUUCCUGGAUUUGCAGUGGUACAUGUCCGGAAUGCAGAAAUUUGUUGUUUGGUUUCAUUGCUAUGGUUACCAUGUUAUCCAAAAUGAAUGGUCUAAUCCACAAAACUCACCCCCGCAGUUUGAAGAAGGUUAACAUGUUCAGCCUUACCUAUACAAUUAAAGAAAGAGGUCAUUUCCAUUGACUUUACAAACCUAAGUUGAGGACAGAAAGGCAAACUCAUCAUGGAGAUAAGGCUAACCUUUGAAGACAUUUUUAUUAUAACAUUUUUCCUCCCACUAUUCAGCAUCUUGUUGGGACAUUUCUCACUAUUCAGUAUCUUGUUAGGACAUUUCUUAAGCUUAAAAAAUCUGGAAUUUGAACAUCGUCUCUGAUUUUUAUUUUGCUGUUAGUCUUACAUUUACUUUGUUUGGUAUAAACGGUGUAGAUUGGUAAUUGUCUUUGACUCUUUGUUUGGUUAAAUAUAUUGCAGUGUUGUUGAAAAUGUUUAGCUUAUGAUAAAACUUUUGGUGACUUUAUGGUGAAAAUUUGCAAUCGACUGAAUGAAUGCAUUCCUCUUGAUGACAUCGUGAUAUAGUAUUGAAUGUGGAAGAGUACUGCCAAAGUGAUAGUGACCUUUUGUUGCCUCUGUAUUAUGAUGACCAGUUGAUUUUACAAACUAGACCAUUAUAGUUUGGCUGAUUGAUUUUGCAAGAGGCAAAUCAUAUCUUACAAAUGGGUAUGGUAUAAGAUAACAGACAUGAUAGUAUACCUUACAUGCUGAUAUCGGCUGACAUGGAGGCCUAACAUUUUCAGAACCACAUGAAUAGAUGUUGGUGGAUUGCUUUUUAUAGUUUUGAUUUUUUGGAACCUUUUUAUGUUCUUGUCUCUCAUAAAAUUGAAUAAAUAAGUUUUGAUAGAAGGAUUUUGUGGCACACAUCUUUUUCAAAUAAUUGGUCUUAGUUAAGGAAAGUUGAGAUUGAAUUCCAAAUACCAUUCAGUCAGCUAACACUGCAUGGUGCCUUUUUUUCUUUUCGUUCAAGAAUUUUGACUUCUUUUACUCUUUUGAUCGGCUUAGUCAGUUAGUAUUUGUUGAUAAGAUCUAUUGCUAUGUUUAGAUUCCUUGGUCUUACCACUUCGAUUGAAGAUCCAACCUAACUCCAUGAGGUUGACUACGUUGGGCAAAUUUCAUCAUAAAAAAUAGGUUAUUAAAUAUAUGUGUACUAGUCUUUGGCGUAUUAUUUUUCAUCGUUGUCUUUUGGAGGACAAUAAAAUGAAUUUUUUAUCCAUUUUUUAUGGGUAUGUGUUUCUUUAGUAGUUUGGUAUCAUGAAAUUAAUUUUAGGUACCCAUGAAACAGUUUGUAUUAAAGCAUAUUUUGGUUGUUCAAGGUGUUGGGCGCGGAGCCAACCUCGAUUGAGUAGGUUAGGUAGAAGAUCCUACAAAACUAAAUCAGAGGCAUGCCCGACAAAAGUCUUUCCAAAGUAGAGCUGGAGAAAUGUAAUAGUUGCUUUAAAGGGUUCAAAGGGCUGUUAGGUGACUUAGCAUACCUAGGACAUUUUAUAUAAAGCUUUGGUAAUCGUCAAUAUUAAGUGGGAAGUUAAUUUGUGGAAUUAUUAAGCGUUACUCGAUCGUGGAGAGUUAACCAAACCAUCAGGACAUUUCCAUUAGCAUAGUCGUGCGAACUUGGUAUAUUAUAGUUGUCCAAUGUGUUGGGCCAUGGAGCUAACCUUGAUUCAAGCUUGGGUCUAUUGUCAGUUUAAUCUCGCUAGAUGAUUGGGUUCAAUAGGGGCAUAUGCAAAAUUUAGUCGGGGACAUACCAAACAAAAGUCUUUGAUGCUUAUGUUAGUAUAUCUAGAGAAAUGUAAUGUAGGAUUCGGAGGUUUCAAAGAGCACUACCUAGGGCUUUUUAAUAAGGGUUUUGAUUACCAUCAAAAUUAAGUGGUUUCGUUGGAUUGUUGGGUGUUACUCGGAUGUGAGGAGUCACUCAAACCGUUAAGAGAUAUAUGGCAGCUUCAUGGCUGGAUUUGACCAUAUUAGAGAUACAGGGAGUUUCGUGGCUAGAUUCGAUCGCAUUCGGGAUAGAGAAUAAUUCAUUAUCAUAUUCCAUUACAUCGUUGAUAAAGGAUACUUUAUGGUCAUAUUCGGCCACGUUGGAGAAAUGAUGCUUCAUGUCGAAGUCAAUUGCAUCGAGGGCUCGAGAUGCAUCUUGGCAACAUCAUCAAGCUUUUUUUAUCGUUUUUCUACCACAAGCCACUCCAACUACAAGCUCGACUUACCUUUGUUCUACAAUUGAAAUACGAUUUGCUUUAGUAACAACGUCAUAUUAAUUUUUGAUGAUUUGACAUUUUUGCCCUGAUACUUGAUCUUUUAUGUUUGAUUGGGGCCUUCCAUAUCGUGCACCACUCAAAUUAACGAAAAAGCUAAGGAUAAGGUAGUGAAGGCCUAACAAUGCCUGACCCCUAUAAAAGGGAGCCUUAGUUGUAUCUGAGCUUCCUACUUUACAAAGCCACCAUCUUUGAUACUAAACAAACAGGUGGCUGCAGUCUGUGGGCAAAGGCAUCCAUGGAAGCCACCUUCUUCAUUUUAGUAGGUAAAAGCAGUUAACCUUACCUGUCUUCCCCACCCGAUGAACAGCUUCCUUGAAGCUUCCUACAGUUUCUUGCACUCAGCUGAUUGGACUCAGAAAAUAAAUAUUUCAUCUUAUUUAAUGUCAGUUUUCAGAAUUAUAUACCCUCAGCAACCUUUUUUUUUUUCUAUUCAAGGACAUAAAACUGCUUUGUUGAUAAAUUUUGCUGUUAAUCUCGAGUUUUGGUAAAUUGAGAGCUAUGUCAUGAUGUCUUUAGAACUAAAUUUGGCACAACAGGAUAAAUUUCUAGCAUGCUUCUUAACCCUAAUGUUAGAAACCUAGUGGAUUCAGGUACAUGUUGCAUGAAACUCCACACACUCAUCAGGCUUGAUUGAAUUUUUAUGAGACUCACAUCGUGACAUCCAAGUUGAUGCUAAUUUAAUGAUUUAGUUUGAGGAGUCAUUACAUCCAAAUGCGAGCUUACUCAACGCACUUGAUCAGUGUCAUAGGAAACAUAUAUAUUAUCAUGAUAGAGUAUGAAAGCUUAGAUUAGGUAUAUAAAACACUAAGUGAUAGACAGAGUAGUAUCAGCAUGAAUAUGAAUGUUAGCUAGAUAUAUAAUUCAUGGUGUAGGAUUCAUGACAAAGGAGGUGAGUUGUACAUUAAAAGUUGUCUUAGUUGCCCAGUGAAGAAAAAAAAGGCUUUUUCAUUAAGUUCAUGAACCUGAAACACUGGUCCAAAGUGUUUAUUCAUUUAUUUUAUGAGCCUUGAAGUAUUUUUUUGUUCAUCAUCUCGACCCAGUCUGAUAACUUAUUAAUUUGAUGAGUAUGAAACACUAAUUCAAAGCACUUGCAUCCAUAUUAAUGAAAAUAGACUUAUUUAACAAUCUGCCCCACUUAUGUUUAACAUAUUGAACUUUACACUCAGCCAUCUUUUCUGGUUUGGGUACCUCAUCAUGCCCAUUAAUAAAUCCCCCUUGAUAUGAUUUGUCACAACUUGAUCUGAGGAGAUAUCUUAAUAACAUUAUGAAUCUGAACUAAGUGCUUAGGCCAAAGUUAAUAACGAUAAACUUAUGUAGCUCUAUAUACCAAUUUGAUUGAGCUGUUGUAUGUGAUGUAGAUCUAAACAUGCGGCAUCACAUUCUUUUAUCCUGCUAUAAAUGCUCCUCAUCUUCAUGGCUUCACCUAAACAUCACUUGAAGUCCUCACAAGAACAGCCAUGUCUUCUCUUGGAGCCAGCUAUGCUUACAUCCAUGAACUGAGGAAACGCUGCAAGGAAAUGGAGAGGAAGAAGACAGAUGGUGGUGUGGCCACAGAGGAGAAGAGCUCCAAGGGAAGAGUUCAUCCUAGUGACACCCCUUCACCAGUGUGUCGUGAAGAACGAGGUGAAGGUAAUUGUUGGAGAAGCUCGGUCACCAAAUAAAUCCCCAAAAAAGAAAGAUGAUGAAUUAUUGGGUGUUGAUGGGGGGCUUGUUUUACAUUUAGACAAUGCUAUGUCCACAUAUAUAUAUUUUGCCUUCCAAUGUUCCAAGUCUCUUUAGUAGGGAAAUGUGGGAGGAAUAAUCAUCCAAUUGUUUUCUUUUUCUCUACCUAGAUACGACAGAAAUAGAUGUUGCUUUCAUUAUUAACAUAGUCAGGUUCAUAGCCAUAUGGAAGUUUUUUUAAUGAAUAUUUUUCUUCUAUCAUAUCAAAUUGCACACAAGAUACAAGCUCAACAAUGGAUGGUAAUAUUAUGGAAUAAUCACAUUUAUGGCCAACUAAGGAUCAGAAUAUUUUAAGGAUGGUAAUAUGUAUCCUAGAGAUUAUCCAAACUCAACAAUGAAGACAACAACAAUUGAAGUUUGUAUGCGGGUUUCAAUUUUACUUAUAACUUAAAUUCAUCUUUGAUAAGAAUGAUCUCUCAGCUGAUUGUUAGGGUUGACAAGUAUUUUAAAAAUAAAUUUAUUUGGAGGAUAAAAAAUUUAAAUUUUAUGAAAAGAAAUUUUUGUGAAUCAGAGUUUAGUUGUCUUGUAAAUAUCUAAUAUAUCUCAACGUCUUAACAAGACAUCAUGAAAAAAAAAAAAAAAAAAAAAAAACCCUUGGUGGUGAUAAUUUUAUACUGAUAAUUUUGAGCUUUUAUCUAUCAGAUUAUUUUAAUGUCCCUCAGACAACUUUUUGCUCGUGUCAAUCGAUCCUGUUGCCCAAGUGCAAGAAUUCUGGCAUCUUGAUACUGAAUUUGCUCCUUUUUUUUUCUUUUGUUUUCUUCUAUUUCCGUUCUUUGGGUUGUAGACUUUGUGCUCUAAUUUUGAGUUGGAUUUCCUAUAGUCUGAAAAGCUAUUGCUCUUCUUCGUUCAUAAUCAGCCAUAUUUUUGCUCCUUUGGCUUUCAGAAUCUGGUUGGAGCAAGCAAGUUCUUUUAUGGAUGUCAUCUUUGGCAUGGAUUGACGACCUCCAAGCAGAAGCAUUCCUCUGAUCUGAUCACCAGGCCUACUCAAUCGUGGUCCUCGAUGAACAUGAGAUAAAAGUACCUUGGCCUGCUUACAAAGUACAAGCUUCCAAGUGCAAGCUUCCUCUUGUUAACUCAAACAUAGACUGGAGUAGCUUUAAGAGGAUACCAGCUACUCCUAGAGUCCUUAACUUUCUGCUUAGAACUUCAUAGAACACAUUUUCUCAUUUCGGACAGACUUGCUGCUUUAAAUAUUUCCUUACUUCAUCAAUUUUGGUGCUGCAGAAUAUGAGACUGAAUCCAUCCAUAAAAGAUCGUAUCUUCUUUUCUUGUCAAUUUGCUCGAGAGUUUUGGAACUACUUUCAGAUCCAUUUGAAUGAAAUUUUAAUUUCAUUGCAGCUUUUAAAUGAUUAAAAUAUUUUUAUUUAGACAGAUUACAAAUCAUAUCGGUUUUUCUUGUUAUCAGUUAAACAAAGUUGAAGGUUUAUUAUGAUAAAUUUAUAUAUAUAUCUUAUUAUGAUGAUGGAUUGUGGUCUGAAAUCCAUCUAAUUAAUUUGUAUGCAUAAAUAUUUUAUCCAAUGAGUUUAUACAUCUAAAUUAACAAAAAAAUUGGUCUAAUAAUUUUAUCUAAAAUAUUCUAUCCAAUUUAUUGAGAAUAUUAACUUCCAUCUGCGAAUUCUCUCUCCACCGCUUGCUCUUAGGGUUUCGAGGUUUUUUGCUUUUUAGGCGCAGUCGGAGAGGAAGGGAAUACGGUGUUGGUGACGGUUUGUGUCUUCGGACAAGAAGAGGAGACCGAUGAAGAGGUCACCGGCAUUCUCUCUCUUCUCCAAAACCCUCUGCUUCAUCUAUCGCCCUCGUCCCGCCGAUGCUCUACUUUCCUCCUCCUCCUCUUACUCCGUCGCCGCUACCGGAAGCGGAGCUCUUCAGCCCAGCUUCAUGGCCGAAUACCUCGUCACGACAUGUGGCUUCUCCCCGGAGAAGGCGACCAAGGCCUCGAAUCUCCUCGGCGGCAUCGCGUCCCGCCGGCAGCCCGACUCCGUCCUUGGCUUUCUCAAAAGCCACGGUUUCGACGACACCCAUGUGAAAGAGCUGCUGUCUGGGAACCCCCGGUGGCUUCUCCUCGACGUGGAGACGAACCUGGCCGCCAAGUUCCGAACUCUCCAGGAGUUAGGCUUCUCACAGUCCGACAUCACCCACCUCGUCGUGGCCAAUCCCUCCGCAAUCAACUGUCGCGUCCCCACCAUGGUGCACAAGAUCCGGUUUUGGCAGGGACUCAUCGGAUCCAACGACCUACUCAUAAAGGUCUUUAAGCGCCGCCAGUGGAUUCUCG